AACGAACGCUGGCGGCAUGCCUAACACAUGCAAGUCGAACGAAGUCUUCGGACUUAGUGGCGCACGGGUGCGUAACGCGUGGGAAUCUGCCCUUGGGUGCGGAAUAACUUCUCGAAAGGGAUGCUAAUACCGCAUAAUGUCGUAAGACCAAAGAUUUAUCGCCCAAGGAUGAGCCCGCGUAAGAUUAGCUAGUUGGUGGGGUAAAAGCCUACCAAGGCGACGAUCUUUAGCUGGUCUGAGAGGAUGAUCAGCCACACUGGGACUGAGACACGGCCCAGACUCCUACGGGAGGCAGCAGUGGGAAUAUUGGACAAUGGGGGCAACCCUGAUCCAGCAAUGCCGCGUGAGUGAUCGAAGGCCUUAGGGUUGUAAAGCUCUUUUGCCAGGGAAGAUGAUGACUGUACCUGGAGAAUAAGCCCCGGCUAAACUUCGUGCCAGCAGCCGCGGU
Molecule: ribosomal RNA, 448 nt
Filed under: uncultured bacterium
Lineage: Bacteria
Description: bacterial SSU rRNA
Rfam family: Bacterial small subunit ribosomal RNA
Source: RNAcentral